Molecule: non-coding RNA, 79 nt
Organism: Pedobacter sp. AJM
Lineage: Bacteria; Pseudomonadati; Bacteroidota; Sphingobacteriia; Sphingobacteriales; Sphingobacteriaceae
Source: Rfam
GGGAAAUUAGUUCAGUUGGUUCAGUGCAUCCCGACUUUAUCAGUCGGGAGGGUCGGGGGUUCGAACCCCUCAUUUCCCA